UCCAACUAGAAUGUAUAACCCAAGUGGCACAAUGGUACCGGCAUCCACAUUUUUCCAAAUGGGAAUUCAGUGAGCACCAGUUCUGUGUUUGCUUGAGUCUCCGGGAGUGUUCCGCUGACAGUGUGUUCUUCUAAAGCGAAAGUUUGUCGUAUCAGUGUUCUUCUUAACGAGGUUUCACUGUACAUAGAUGCAAAAAGACACACAUAGGUGGUCUUUAUAUUGCAUUGUCUAUUCCUUGAUACAUUGACACGUCUGUGUAUUGCUCCCCGUUCUGAUAGGUGUAUGUUUUUGUUGUAAUCGCCGUCACGUGAACGGUGUUGUCAGCCCUCAUCUCUCUUCUUUUUACCAUACAUUCCUUGUAGACUUGUAGGGUUUCAUUCUGUUGAUGUUGUUGCUGUCCGUCUUGUUGUCGUGGAGGUGGUGGAGGUGGGCUAAUUAAGUGGCCACUUGAAAUGUGAAGUGGUGUUUGAAGUGCCUAUCGGCGACAUAAGUAUUUCUUUUAAAGUGGUGGGUGUGGUGUUAGUAAGAUUGACUGUCUGGGAUGUUUUUUUUGAAAUUGAAUUAUGAUAUUCUGGAAUAUUCUAGGUAUUGCCAGACUACCCUUCAACCAACGAGCAUCAAACAACUGGAUGGGGAUAAAAGUGAUUGGAGCUGCCUUGAUGAGUCCCAUUCAACUCCAGCCUGAAGAUCGUCUUCUUCUUCUUCAAAACAAAGAUGCAAUUCAGCUGUGACUUAUGUCUUAAGACUACGACCGGCCUCCAGCCGUUCGUUGACCACGCCAAAUCAAAAGGACAUCGGAAGAACCUGGAGGCUGGUCGUCAGCCGGUUUAUAAAUGUAGCUGCGAUGACGAGUGGAUUGAUCUUGGGACAAUGAAGGAUCACGUUACAACGUCCCGACACAUCAACAACUACCUUCAGAGGCUUAUCAACUUCUACGGGGUGUUGCCCAUUAACAGCGUGACGAAGAUGGCGCAAGCCCAGGCGGAGCUCCUGUGUUUAUAAUAAAAAGUUUAAAACCAA
Long non-coding RNA from Sycon ciliatum, 1020 nucleotides. RefSeq lists it as uncharacterized. NCBI's taxonomy places the organism in Eukaryota, Metazoa, Porifera, Calcarea, Leucosolenida, Sycettidae. The record is from RefSeq and is a predicted model, not a curated record. The transcript has 2 exons.